GUGAAGGCUCACCAUAACAUGGUGUAGUAGUCAGCAGAGUGAAGGCUCACCAUAACAUGGUGUAGUAGUUAGCAGAGUGAAGGCUCACCAUAACAUGGUGUAGUAGUCAGCAGAAUGAAGGCUCACCAUAACAUGGUGUAGUAGUCGGCAGAGUGAAGGCUCACCAUAACAUGGUGUAGUAGUCGGCAGAGUGAAAGCUCACCAUAACAUGGUGUAGUAGUUAGCAGAGUGAAGGCUCACCAUAACAUGGUGUAGUAGUUAGCAGAGUGAAGGCUCACCAUAACAUGGUGUAGUAGUCAGCAGAAUGAAGGCUCACCAUAACAUGGUGUAGUAGUCGGCAGAGUGAAGGCUCACCAUAACAUGGUGUAGUAGUCGGCAGAGUGAAAGCUCACCAUAACAUGGUGUAGUAGUCAGCAGAGUGAAGGCUCACCAUAACAUGGUGUAGUAGUCAGCAGAGUGAAGGCUCACCAUAACAUGGUGUAGUAGUCGGCAGAGUGAAGGCUCACCAUAACAUGGUGUAGUAGUCAGCAGAGUGAAGGCUCACCAUAACAUGGUGUAGUAGUUAGCAGAGUGGAGGCUCACCAUAACAUGGUGUAGUAGUCGGCAGAGUGAAGGCUCACCAUAACAUGGUGUAGUAGUUGGCAGAGUGAAGGCUCACCAUAACUAUAACAUGGUGUAGUAGUCGGCAGAGUGAAGGCUCACCAUAACAUGGUGUAGUAGACGACAGAGUGAAGGCUCACCAUAACAUGGUGUAGUAGUCAGCAGAAUGAAGGCUCACCAUAACAUGGUGUAGUAGUCGGCAGAGUGAAGGCUCACCAUAACAUGGUGUAGUAGUCGGCAGAGUGAAGGCUCACCAUAACAUGGUGUAGUAGUUAGCAGAGUGAAGGCUCACCAUAACAUGGUGUAGUAGUCGGCAGAGUGAAGGCUCACCAUAACAUGGUGUAGUAGUCGGCAGAGUGAAGGCUCACCAUAACAUGGUGUAGUAGACGACAGAGUGAAGGCUCACCAUAACAUGGUGUAGUAGUUAGCAGAGUGAAGGCUCACCAUAACAUGGUGUAGUAGACGACAGAGUGAAGGCUCACCAUAACAUGGUGUAGUAGUCGGCAGAGUGAAGGCUCACCAUAACAUGGUGUAGUAGACGACAGAGUGAAGGCUCACCAUAACAUGGUGUAGUAGUUAGCAGAGUGAAGGCUCACCAUAACAUGGUGUAGUAGUCAGUGUUUUCCAAUCCUGGUCCUUGGGAACCAUUUUUGUUUUUGCACUAACACACCUGAUUGAAAUAAUAAAAAGCUUGUUGAUUAGUUGAAUGAAGGGUAUUAGUGCUCAGGGGGAAACUCCUUUGGGUUCCUAAGACCAGGAUUGGGGACCACUGGUGUAGCAUGUUGGCUGGAGUUCAUCAGUGACUUUCACCUUCACUGAGAUGUGAAGCAAACUGUCAUGGAGAGACAAACUAAUCUCUUGCUCUGUUGGCGAAGACUGUUGGCGGUUGACUACGAGUGACGUGCGAUGUUGCCCAUUAGGUCCAACGUUGUGAGUUCCAGCUCCGCUUGGCGUCAGCCUGGUCCCAGAUCUGGUUGAGAUUUGGCCUGGUCCUCCGUUGUCAUUGUUGGCAUGACAAUUCCAGGAGUAGUCGGCAGAAGAGCAGAAGCAGAUUGGCCCGCAGGCUAGCUUGGGGUAGAACACAAUGUACUCUGACAGCGGUGCCACUGCCGUGACCUGGAUAGAUCACACAGUCAGGGUGCUGCGCAGUAGGAAGAGGUCAAAGGGCGGUGAAUGAAGUGGACAGCAGAGCCAUAUAUUUAAGAAAAGCUCAGCCAGCUUUUAAAGAACUCUUUGAACAUUGUUCUAAAUUCUAGACAUCCAGUUAUAUAGCAUCGUGUUUAAAUAUUCCCUGUGAAAUGUUCAUGGGGAACCAACAUGGCUGCCUUUAGAAUAUUGUGAUGUCAUGUAUAAAUGCUACGUCAACGUCCCAACUGUAAAUGUCUCUGAGGGUCACUAAUGGGAGUCUCGUGAGGACUGGGAACACACUGUAACAUUGUUUCAAUAAACCACACAGGAGCAUCAGUCAAUCAGUGUGCAGUGUUCUUUUACCUUGUGAUAUUGGAAUCCCUGGCGACCCCAUGAUUUGAGCCCUUAGUGUGGUGGACGUGAACCUAAACAACUUCAUUCUGACCUCAACUGCUCUCGCACUGAAGGUCACUAAGAGUGCAUCCAAAAUGGCACCCAGGACCAGGACCCAGGUCUAAAGUAGUGCACUAUGUAGGGAAUAGGGUGCCAAGGACCUGGUCUAAAGUAGUGCACUAUGUAGGGAAUAGGGUGCCAAGGACCUGGUCUAAAGUAGUGCACUAUGUUGGGAAUAGGGUGCCAAGGACCUAGUCUAAAGUAGUGCACCAUGUAGGGAAUAGGGUGCCAAGGACCUGGUCUAAAGUAGUGCACUAUGUAGGGAAUAGGGUGCCAAGGACCUGGUCUAAAGUAGUGCACUAUGUAGGGAAUAGGGUGCCAAGGACCUGGUCUAAAGUAGUGCACUAUGUAAGGAAUAGGGUGCCAAGGACCUGGUCUAAAGUAGUGCACUAUGUAGGGAAUAGGGUGCCAUAGAGCUCUGGUCUAAAGUAGUGCACUAUGUAGGGAAUAGGGUGCCAUAGAGCUCUGGUCUAAAGUAGUGCACUAUGUAGGGAGUAGGGUGCCAUAGAGCUCUGGUCUAAAGUAGUGCACUAUGUAGGGAAUAGGGUGCCAAGGACCUGGUCUAAAGUAGUGCACUAUGUAGGGAAUAGGGUGCCAAGGAUCUGGUCUAAAGUAGUGCACUAUGUAGGGAAUAGGGUGCCAAGGAUCUGGUCUAAAGUAGUGCACAAUGUAGGGAAUAGGGUGCCAAGGAUCUGGUCUAAAGUAGUGCACUAUGUAGGGAAUAGGGUGCCAAGGACCUGGUCUAAAGUAGUGCACUAUGUAGGGAAUAGGGUGCCAUAGAGCUCUGGUCUAAAGUAGUGCACUAUGUAGGGAAUAGGGUGCCAUAGAGCUCUGGUCUAAAGUAGUGCACUAUGUAGGGAAUAGGGUGCCAAGGACCUGGUCAAAAAUAGUGCACUAUGUAGGGAAUAGGGUCUAAAGUAGUGCACAAUGUAGGGAAUAGGGUGCCAUGCAUCUGUGAUUGACAGGUGAAGACAGACACUGAUCUGUUUAAUCUGCUGGUGGUGGUGAUGCCACACGGUGGCCCAGACCAGACGUCAUGGUUUACUGUGGUGUAAACAUCAUCUAUUCUAUUCAGAGAGAGAGGGCAGAUCCUGUAGAUUUCUCUUGGUGAGUGUGUGUGCGCACGCGGUGCGUCUGUUUGUAUGUGAGUGAGUGAGAACAGUGUGGGGCGCUGCCUGCUGAUAGUUAGCAUGUGGAUUAACCAGGAUCACAUUGGUAAUCUCUGAAGGCGCAAAGUUACCCAGACAUCCCUGCUUGGCUGACCUCCGACCCCUGGGAAAGAAAGUAUUUGAACUCCUAGAACCUGGCUGGGCCCUGUCCAGAAACAGCCCCUAACCCCUCUACCCAUGGCCUAACCACUUCAUGUAGUUCUGAGAGGAAUGGAUAGCUGUCAGCAGGUUGGUCUCAACCCUGACUUCCAUUUAUGUUACAUUUUCAUUUAGUCUCCCACUGACAUCAACACAUGACUGAGUUAUGGCCUAGGCCUCUGGGCUGUUUGUUGUGUUUCUGGACUGGGCCUGGAGAAGGCCUACUGUCUACUCUCUGUGGUCUAGCCAAGGGCCCUGGAGAAGGCCUACUGUCUACUCUCUGUGGUUUAGGCCUCUGGGCUGUUUGUGUUGUUUCUGGACAGGGCCCUAGAGAAGGCCUUCUGUCUACUCUCUGUUGCCUAGGGCCCUAGAGAAGGCCUACUGUCUACUCUCUGUGGUCUGGGCCUCUGGGCUGUUUGUGAUGUUUCUGGACAGGGCCCUAGAGAAUGCAAUACUGCUCAUCUGAAACUGUCCCAAUGAAUGCAUCGACAAAUAUAAUUUGUUGUUUAAAAGCAAAGUGUGUUUUGACUAUAAUGAUGAACCGUGUGUGUUUUGACUAUAAUGAUGAUCCAAGUGCGUGUUUUGACUAUAAUGAUGAUCCAAGUGCGUGUUUUGACUACAAUGAUGAUCCAAGUGCGUGUUUUGACUAUAAUGAUGAUCCAAGUGCGUGUUUUGACUAUAAUGAUGAUCCAAGUGCGUGUUUUGACUAUAAUGAUGAUCCAAGUGUGUGUUUUGACUAUAAUGAUGAUCCAAGUGUGUGUUUUGACUAUAAUGAUGAUCCAAGUGUGUGUUUUGACUAUAAUGAUGAUCCAAGUGUGUGUUUUGACUACAAUGAUGAUCCGUGAAAAGAAUGGAAAUGCCUUGGUCAUAAUGUGUUACUCAUGUUUUCUUAGGAUGGUUUGUGGAAAGACCCCCAUUGUAUAAAUGGAGAGAUUAACAGUGGGUCGAAAUAAAGGGAUUUAAAGUUAAA
Long non-coding RNA from Oncorhynchus masou masou (cherry salmon), 4458 nucleotides. RefSeq lists it as uncharacterized. NCBI's taxonomy places the organism in Eukaryota, Metazoa, Chordata, Actinopteri, Salmoniformes, Salmonidae. The record is from RefSeq and is a predicted model, not a curated record. The transcript is spliced from 2 exons.